UAAAAGAGAAGGGGAAACCCCUGAAGAGUCAUAGUACAAAGCCCAACUGUUACAAAUAGCCUGAUGAUGAUCAUCAUUAUCACGAAAAGAAAACCAUAGACCAUUCCUACAUGCUCGAUUAGUAAGAAAAUGAGCAUAAGUUACAUCACAUUGUUCCUGGAGACAUGAGACCAACGAACAGAGGAAAGGAAAACUCCCUCGAUACCUAUUUAAUAUCAUGAAUUACAGACCAAACCUCAGCUGGGAUCGGAUGGUUCUUUUCCAUCAUGUUCGUUGUUCACCAAUAGGGUACUGUCGGAUUCUGCCAUUACAUGAGAGAGUUGAAGAUUCAUCACUAUCUUCAAGCCUUCCAAAGCAGCCUGGGAUUCAGAGAAAAAGGAGAGACCUAGGCGAAUCGGAUUUCGAGGAGGCUGCCAAAAAAUUUCCAUUUGCCUUGUAAAUAACACAACCAUAGCCAGCAUAGGAAGAUCUGAGAAACCUCCAUCAAAACUUUGACAAAACUUGCAUGGGUGGAAUGAAUUCUUAUUCCCAAAUCCCGAGGGGGAGAGAAUUACCAUUCCGUCAAACGAGGGAAUAUCAUGAAUGGGAAUGGGAUUUCGAUUCUGUUCAAUUAAACGGUUGGAAUUCUACUACAGUCUACAGAUUCUUAUUCCCGCCGCUAACCAAACGGACCCUUAUUUGUUUGGUAAAUGACUAAAUCGUGAAGUAGACGAACGAAAUUUAUUUCCAUCCAAAUUCGAAUUUUGAACCUGCAAACCCUAAAGACACUACCAGGCAUUUAGAUUGUGGACUUGGUUUCCUUACAUUGAACUGCAUUUCAGGGCGAUGAUUAUUGGAAGGCACUUUAAUGGUCCUUUGGUCCCUUGGGUUUGGAGAGAAUUUUAGGGUAUCUUGGAGAAUACUGAAGUUGUGUCUCUCAAGUGGGUACCUAGAUCAGCCAAAUACUCUUGCUGACCCUCUGGCUAAAUCUGGGUUAACAGGGAAAAUAUUGUUUUGGAAGGUGACAUCAAUUAAGAGUGUCAUAGCAGUCCUCCCAGCUUACUACACGUCCCUUUUUCCAAUUCCCUCUUAGAUGGCAGGGAAGAUAGAAAAAACGGAUGAGAAAUGUCCUUUAAUUUGGGUGGGAGGACUCCUCUAAGUAUCAUUUGGUGAAUUGGGAUGAUAUCUGCAAGCCUCUUUCUCAUGGAGGUUUAGGAAUCAGGAAAAAAAGGUUCAAUACAGCAUUAUUGGAAAAGUGGCUUGGAGGUUUUCCACUGAGAAGUAUGGAAUCAAUGCUAAUGGCUGGAAUGUAGAGGGUUCCCAACUAUCCUUUGAGUGUGGAGUGUGGAAAGGUAUUAUAAAGCAUGCUACCAUUUCAUUAAGGGGAUAAAAUACUAGGUUGGAAAUGGAAGCAGAUUGAGGUUCUGGUUGGAUUCAUGGUGUGGUGAUAGCACUUGUAAGGGACAGGUUUCCAACUCUUCUCAAUGUGGCUGACAACCAACAAGCUUUGGUUGCUGAUUGCUAUCAAUUGGAAGGCAGCAGUAAUAUGGACAGCAGCUUUUAGAAGGAAUUUCAACGACUGGGAGGUGGAACAGGUGUUUGAUUUUCUCUCUUUGAUCCAGAAUCAACAUCUAGAAUUGCAGUCUGACUCAAGAAGUUGGAUAUUGGGCACAUUCAAGCAAGUUUUCAGUUUAAGUCCUACAAGGGCCUUGUGGAAGAGCAGAGGCAACUUUUCCCAAGAAAAGCCAUAUGGGGAGUUGCUGCACCUCUAAAAGUCAAAUUCUUUUCUUGGGUGGUGGCAUGGGAGAAAUGCCUCAUAAAGGAAAGUGUUUCUAAGGAAGGGUUUUAACAUUCCAGAUCUGCUGUGCCUGUUAUAUGGUUUGCAAGAUGAGUCCUCAAACCAUCUUUUCAUCCAUUGCAGAUUUUCUGCAAGAGUUUAAAUCAUUUUAUUAACUCAGUUCACCUAAACUGGUGCUUCCCAAGGUCAAUGAAGGAAUUGUUUCAAGGGUGGCAGGUUUUUGGCAUGUCCAAAAGAGGAAGAUACUUAUGGUCAGCCAUCUCAAAUGCAGUUUUGUGGGCCAUUUUGCUUGAAAAAUAAAAAACAGGAUUUUUUUAGCAGAAAGCAAAAUCAGAAGCUGGGGUAAUUAAUUUUGUAGUGGAGGAAUGUUGGAUGUCUAUAUAUAAUGUAUUUAAAGAUUAUGUUUUUUCCUGCAACUUUUUUGAGGGUGGACCUUUUUGGGAGGCCUUUAAAUGUGAUAUCUGUACUGCAUCUCAUUUUACAGACUGUUUGACAUCUUGAUACUAAAAUAAUAUACUUUACCUUUUGCAUGUGUGGACAUGGAAUGGACUUCUAAACUGAUAAUAGUAUUUUGAUUGUAAUUGGGGGCAGAUUAGGCAUAACGCCUAAACAAUAAGGCAUCCUGGGAGUGUCACCUUCUGCAAACGCAUGGUCACAUGCAUAUUUUUGUAUAAGGUGCCACAUAAUCUUUUAUAUUUUUUUUUUGUUUUAUGAUAUAAUAAUAUUAUGGUUGAUAGCAUUGCACUAAAUUAUUAACUCUGUAGGUUUAUAAUAUUUUAUUGUUCUUAUACUACUCUCUUUUAUUAUUCUCUUAUUUGUUUGGGUCCAAUCAUCACAUUAGUUGGCGAGUUGGUCGUGAACCUUUAAGACUUAAGAAGUGUUCAAUAUAAGGAAGAAUUUGAAUAUUUUAUCCAAUCAAUACAAGAGCAAUCAAGGAACUAAAAGAUUCUUCUGUUUUCUAUGUUUUAUUUUCUUUCUUCUUUUCCUUCUCAUAAAUGUGUUUCCAACUUUCUAUGUUUUGAUGUGAAGUUUAUAUUUAUUUCAUGAGGAUUAGGGUUACUAUGAUUUAAAGGUUACUUCUGAUUACCAUGAGACCUAGGGAACUGCUCUAGGACUUUGUUCUUUCAUUAUAAAAAAAACAUCACCUAGGUGAUGUUUAGGCAGGUGACUAGGUGACAAGGCACUCCCUAUCACCUAGCUUCACCUUAGUACUUCUUAUUUAGUAAUUGUUGCUUUAAUUCUAUCAUCUUAAGAAACUAAUUACUUAAAUGUUGCCUAGAGUAAAACUUGCUUCCAAGGCAAGUAGGAUCUAGCUGAACUUGAAAAAUGAUCUUUUCAUUAGUAGUAUUAUAAAAAUAAUAAAAUCUUCAACUUGUUGCUUAACUUUAUUUCUUAAUUCUUGUGUUUUUUGGAUUUGGCUUUGGGAGAAUGAUUGGUAGAGGUUGGACGGUUGACGAACUUUACAUGCAGAAGGAUAAGGUGUCUAAGUUGACUUUGUAUGUCUAACAAUUGAUUCUUGUAAUAAGGGGAAUAUUUAUUUAUGGCAUCAUCAUCUUGGCCAUUCUCCCUUUGAGUUCUUGAAGGUUUUGUUUUCAAAUUUGUUUGUCUCUUGAUUUUUCUCUUUUCAGUGUCGUACUUGUCAUCUGAUUAAGCACUAUACAAACUCUCAUCCUUUACAUAAUAAAAGAACCAGUUUUCAUUUUUCUAU
This is a long non-coding RNA of Nelumbo nucifera (sacred lotus), 3485 nucleotides long. RefSeq lists it as uncharacterized. NCBI's taxonomy places the organism in Eukaryota, Viridiplantae, Streptophyta, Magnoliopsida, Proteales, Nelumbonaceae. The record is from RefSeq and is a predicted model, not a curated record.